This 329-nucleotide ribosomal RNA is filed under the name uncultured bacterium. RNAcentral describes it as "bacterial SSU rRNA". It matches the Rfam family "Bacterial small subunit ribosomal RNA", at positions 471 to 793 of the family's 1533-position model. The record is from RNAcentral.
GACGUUACCUACAGAAGAAGCACCGGCUAACUCCGUGCCAGCAGCCGCGGUAAUACGGAGGGUGCGAGCGUUAAUCGGAAUUACUGGGCGUAAAGCGCAUGCAGGCGGCCUGUUAAGUCAGAUGUGAAAGACCCGGGGCGUUAACCUCGGAAUUGCAUUUGAAACUGGCAGGCUAGAGUCUUGUAGAGGGGGGUAGGAAUUUCAGGUGUAGCGGUGAAAUGCGUAGAGAUCUGAAGGAAUACCAGUGGCGAAGGCGGCCCCCCUCGGACAAAGACUGACGCUCAGAUGCGAAAGCGUGGGGAGCAAACAGGAUUAGAUACCCCUGGUAG